CAGUCGCCGCGGUAAAACGGAGGGGGCUAGCGUUGUUCGGAAUUACUGGGCGUAAAGCGUACGUAGGCGGCUUUGUAAGUUAGAAGUGAAAGCCUGGUGCUCAACACCAGAACUGCCUUUAAGACUGCAUCGCUUGAACGUCGGAGAGGUGAGUGGAAUUCCGAGUGUAGAGGUGAAAUUCGUAGAUAUUCGGAAGAACACCAGUGGCGAAGGCGGCUCACUGGACGACUGUUGACGCUGAGGUACGAAAGCGUGGGGAGCAAACAGGAUUAGAUACCCGAGUAGUCCCUGUCUCUUAUAC
This 301-nucleotide ribosomal RNA is filed under the name uncultured bacterium. RNAcentral's name for it is "partial 16S ribosomal RNA". It matches the Rfam family "Bacterial small subunit ribosomal RNA", at positions 509 to 807 of the family's 1533-position model. The record is from RNAcentral.